This 260-nucleotide ribosomal RNA is filed under the name uncultured Lactobacillus sp. Its description in RNAcentral is "partial 16S ribosomal RNA". It matches the Rfam family "Bacterial small subunit ribosomal RNA", at positions 103 to 355 of the family's 1533-position model. Lineage: Bacteria; Bacillati; Bacillota; Bacilli; Lactobacillales; Lactobacillaceae. The record is from RNAcentral.
UGGGUGAGUAACGCGUGGGUAACCUGCCCUUAAGUCUGGGAUACCAUUUGGAAACAGAUGCUAAUACCGGAUAAAAGCUACUUUCGCAUGAAAGAAGUUUAAAAGGCGGCGUAAGCUGUCGCUAAAGGAUGGACCUGCGAUGCAUUAGCUAGUUGGUAAGGUAACGGCUUACCAAGGCGAUGAUGCAUAGCCGAGUUGAGAGACUGAUCGGCCACAUUGGGACUGAGACACGGCCCAAACUCCUACGGGAGGCAGCAGUU